RNAcentral lists this ribosomal RNA (720 nucleotides) under Escherichia coli. Its description in RNAcentral is "partial 23S ribosomal RNA". It matches the Rfam family "Bacterial large subunit ribosomal RNA", at positions 103 to 867 of the family's 2925-position model. Lineage: Bacteria; Pseudomonadati; Pseudomonadota; Gammaproteobacteria; Enterobacterales; Enterobacteriaceae. The record is from RNAcentral.
ACCGGCGAUUUCCGAAUGGGGAAACCCAGUGUGUUUCGACACACUAUCAUUAACUGAAUCCAUAGGUUAAUGAGGCGAACCGGGGGAACUGAAACAUCUAAGUACCCCGAGGAAAAGAAAUCAACCGAGAUUCCCCCAGUAGCGGCGAGCGAACGGGGAGGAGCCCAGAGCCUGAAUCAGUGUGUGUGUUAGUGGAAGCGUCUGGAAAGGCGUGCGAUACAGGGUGACAGCCCCGUACACAAAAAUGCACAUACUGUGAGCUCGAUGAGUAGGGCGGGACACGUGGUAUCCUGUCUGAAUAUGGGGGGACCAUCCUCCAAGGCUAAAUACUCCUGACUGACCGAUAGUGAACCAGUACCGUGAGGGAAAGGCGAAAAGAACCCCGGCGAGGGGAGUGAAAAAGAACCUGAAACCGUGUACGUACAAGCAGUGGGAGCCUCUUUAUGGGGUGACUGCGUACCUUUUGUAUAAUGGGUCAGCGACUUAUAUUCUGUAGCAAGGUUAACCGAAUAGGGGAGCCGAAGGGAAACCGAGUCUUAACUGGGCGUUAAGUUGCAGGGUAUAGACCCGAAACCCGGUGAUCUAGCCAUGGGCAGGUUGAAGGUUGGGUAACACUAACUGGAGGACCGAACCGACUAAUGUUGAAAAAUUAGCGGAUGACUUGUGGCUGGGGGUGAAAGGCCAAUCAAACCGGGAGAUAGCUGGUUCUCCCCGAAAGCU